Molecule: long non-coding RNA, 7105 nt
Organism: Marmota monax (woodchuck)
Lineage: Eukaryota; Metazoa; Chordata; Mammalia; Rodentia; Sciuridae
Exons: 4
Source: RefSeq, a predicted model, not a curated record
UACAGCAAUAAUAGUCCCUUAACUAAAUAUACCAAUUCCUAGUUCACCAAACCGUCUGUGGUCUCACUGGAGUCGAAGAAAGGAGAUGGUUACCGUGACAUCAUUGCUAUUAUUUAAAUUAAACUGCUUUGGGAGAACAUAAUUGUUAAUAAAAGCCUUCUUUUCCACGCCCCUCAAGGUUCCCUUCCCCCUUUGGCAUUUUUGACGUGCCAUUCUGGAUGAAUGUAAGCAGAAUUAUGUGGAGUCUAGUAGCCUACUAUAUAACUACCAUGUUGCACCUGCAGGCUAGCAAGGAAAAGCAGAGGAAAUUUGCUAUAUUUAGGGAUAGUUGUUUGAGAAAUAUAUACUCUUAGAUACUGAUGUUCAAAGUUUUUCUCUUCCUAAAUGUGUGUGUGUGUACGCAGAGAGUUUUAUAUGGGUUAUAUGAACCCUCUGUAGUGUCCGUGUUUGUACAUUAAAGACUGCCAUGUAAUCAUUCCAGGGGGCUGGUUUAAUGCAUUUAACAGAGAACUAAUGGGUCUUCUACGUCGAAAAGCAUGCUCCUAUUUUUAAUCCCGUCACGUAUUGAAGCGGUUUUGUGUGAGUCUGAGGCGUCCACCUUCAUUCAUAGUAGAUGCUCUUGUUCAAGAAAUCAUUCCAACCACUUUGGGUUCCCUAUCAUUGCUAAAAUGCCCCCCUUACUUCUCUGCUACUAUUUUUUCUUUAUUAUUUAGCCUAUUUCCGUCAUACUUAACAAAAAUAAAUAAUCCUUGCUGCCCAGAAAUUCAGUUGAAAUGAUCCGGUGAGCUCUCGCCUUGGUCCUUACUUCGAAAUGUAAUUUCAAAUACUGGAUAUGAUAGGACUUGGUCGUUGAUCAAGCUGCAGGAGACCGAAGCUACUUUUUCGUGCCGGAUUUUACCUUCUUUCUUGCCUGGAGCGUGCGCUCUGCACACGCGCGCACACACACACACAAACACACACACACAGAGAAUUCCAUAAAAAGAAGCUGGGUGAGGGUGUCCCAAUGUGAACUGAGACGCUGGGCUCUGGCUGAACCUGGGCAGUAGGGAAGCCGCUGGUGAGCGGCGCCAGCACCAGGGGCUAAGGCUGAGGGUGGCCUGCGGCCAGGGUGAGGACGCGCAGAAGCUGUGCGGGCCUCCCGCGCUUGUCUGAUGCUGGAGAGGAUGGCCAGGCUCCCGGGAAUGAAAUCAAAGUUCCGUAGAGCUCAGAACCCCUAGACAGCAACCUUGUUGGGCGAAGUGCCCUGUUCGGUUUGAGCUCGCGCGUGGAGCGGGCUCCAGCACUGGGUCUGCCGGGGAAGAAGCCCACGAAAGGGGUCCCGCAGCGUUAGCUUUUGUACCGCCCCGCCUUGGCCAGCCGCGAGCUGACGCACGGGCUCCCCCGGGACGCAGGGGGCGUCGCACUGCAGCUGGGUGGGGAGCAAUUUAUUCCUCGCGGUCACAUCCCAGCAGAUCUACGGUUACUCCACCCUACCCCUCCCAUCCCUCCUCCUCCUCUCUACCGACGCCCGCACAACCUUCAGAUUCUCCACCUCCCCUUCAUCCUCCAUCCCCCUUCUCUCUCACACUCUUCUCUCUCCCCUUUCUCUCCUCCCAUCCCUCUCUUUCUCUCCUCCCUCUCCUCUCUGAAUGAGCAAGCUUUUGCUUCUAAAAGUCACAAGUAAGAGAGAGAGAGAGAGAGAGAGAGAGAGAGAGAGAGAGAGAGAGACGCCGAGAGGAGCGGAAAGCAGGAGGGAAAUCUGGCAGUACGUCUGAGAGAAGAAACUUGAUGCUUCUGGGCCACCAUUUGCCAGGGCCUCGCUGGAGACGCCGAAAGGAGCCUAUUGGUGUGCUGCGGCCGCGCUGUGACUGGAUCUUGUCUUCUGUCUGGCGCUUCGAUUUCUGUCCGGCUGGAUUUGAGGGUCAACACUGCCUGGAGCAGGGAGAUCAAAUGAGACUGCAAAGAAGCAUAAAAUGAAUAGACUAUCUAACCAACCAAAGACCGGGGGCAGCAGCACACCAGCAAGACGGCAUCUUCUCCUCCCCAGCCUAGAAGCCCUGUGAAAUCGAGGAUCUUCCCCCUAAAACACUAACAUACAAGAUAUGUGCAAUCAAGCUGCCACCGCUUGGUAAAAACUCACGAUGCCUAACCCAAAAGGAUCGGGAGCAGAUCCUUGAAUCAGCUGUCACUUCUAUAGAAUGGGAUUUUUUUUCCUUCCUCCUUAACCUGCGCUGGAAAUUGCCGUUGGCUUUAUACAUCUCUAUAGAGGAAGGCCAAAGAGUCUUGCGUGAGAAUGAAGCGAUUUACAAUGCAAAUAGAGGCCUGUGAAGGGAUGGAUGCCGCUGCUCACUCCCAACAGCUUGCUGCGCCUUAAUAGCUGGUUUUAUUUUCUGUUAUUAAUUGAUGAAUUGUUUGCUGACGCUGCCGGAGAUUACUUGCUGGAAGGGGAAAAAAGUUCGGAAUAAACUCUGAAGGCAACAGAUCUUAUUUGGAUGUUUUAGCCGCACAUACACAAACUGAAACCAGGUCAUAUUUACAUCAAAGGAGGAAUCUUGGGCACGGCAAGUAUCCUGGACGACUACCCUUCAGUACUGCCGGAGAGAACCGGGAUCUGGAGUCUGGCGAGAGGAAGACAGAGGCAUGUGAGGGAAGCGAGUUGUUAUCUUUGGUUAUCUAGCUGUAUGAGUGUAUUGGUCUUCAUAAAGCUAGAUAACCGAAAGUAAAAACUCCUUCAAGAUCGCCGGGGAGCGUGUGAGAUGAAAGACUACAACCAAGAGACAGUAAAAACCAGAAAGGUCAGGAAUACUUAUUGAAUCUAACUUUGUUUUUGUUUUUGUUUUUCCUUAUCAUGAAAGGUGGGAUGAGAGGAAAUUGACACAUAUAUGCUGAGAUACUAACGUGUCAGGUUUUGAAAGGGGUUGUUACAGCUGCAAAGGAGAAUUGUAUAGUACUAAUGAGUAAAGAUGCGUGUACACUUUGUUCUAUUUAAGGCGAAAGUUUAUAUAAGAGGAACUUUUUUCUUAGAAAGAGAUCGUAGAGAUGUCUGAGACCUAGUUUAAAAAUGAUUCCAUAAUUAUGUAGACUUGGGCAGUUCCCUUCUGAGGCUCCUCCCCCCAAAAUUUGAAGAUUGUGCUUGGAAACUACUUUAAAUGUAUUUGGGCUGUAUGUCAAAUUCUAUAAAAUUAGACUUUAAGACAAGUUUAUACUGAGAGGUUAAUAAUUUAUAUCUAUUGAAGACUUAGAACUAGCCGGGAAAAAUGAAGAAAAACAAAAACAAAGGCUGAUUUUUAUUCUUCUAUUCAAAAUACAAGGACAGAUGCUUCUCUGUUCCAAGAGGGUUUCCUUGAGGAAGCUACUGAAGCAGAAAGACAUGAUGGAGACGAGAUCGCCUCCCCUCUUGUCAAAGUGUUAAAAAAAUAUUCUGUCUUACUCUGAGCCUAGCAUUGGAAAUGAAAGUGACAUUUACGCCACAACCCACGUGUGCGCCUCCUCUCUUUUUGUUUAAGGAUGAUCAGGUCUAUCCAGGAAACAGCUCUGGCAUCCCAAACUGAAAUAAUUAGGACGUAUAUAGACCUGACAAAAAUGGAAAGGGGGUGGGGAAUCUGAGGGUCUGUCCUGCCUAAUUGAUUCCGCUAAACGGAAUGCAGGAGAUGUGAACGGCAGGACGCUCCGAUUCCCACGCUCGGGGGCAAGUGGUAAAGCGGGCCGGCAGCCUAUGACAGACAGCCCUGUUGGGGGGUAGGGGUAUGAAAAAAACAUCAAGUGCACACACCAUACUCAUCUCCAUCGCUUAAGAAAGUAAAGGCAUUUCCCACCCACAGCCAUCUGCAGCCUCCCAAAUGGCAACGCCAACUGGUCUGUAGCUGCUGCAUACUGUCUGUUUCUGUUAAUUUUUAACCGCUGUUUAAUUUGGCCCUGAUCAAGUUUGGCUUUCUUUUUUGGUUGAGAUUUUCAGUAUUUAAGGAAAGCUAGUGGAAAGUGAUUUCAAGAAAGUCUCAUUACUGCCUGUCCCUCCUGUGAAAUCCUCAGUCUCUACUUACGGCCUUGUGACCACCUUUUGGCUUUUGUUUUGGCUGGGUUGUAUUUUUUUUUUUUUUUUUACUAUAUGUCUCUACGUAACAGUCAUUAUUAUGGCUUCACCAGGUUGUUUACCUCUUAAGAUGACACACCUAGGAAUUUGGCCUGAUUGUGCUAAUUAAAUACACAUUGAAAGUCAAACCAAGAAGUCAUCAGCCUAUAGAAAAGUUGAUUACAAUAACAAUGUGAUAAAAGGUUGUUUUGGAAUAAUCCCAGGUAGAUGCAUUCUAACCAGGCAUUUUAAAUCUUAAUUUAAAAAUAACUAUUCUUAGCUUUAUAAACUUUGUGGAUUUUAAAAGUCCUCAUUGUGGUCUUUUCAUUAAAUUUCUUACAUUUUGCCACAUGUCACCAAGCGAACAUUUGUGUAGGCAUUUACACAUAAACACAACCAUUACAAUAAGAUGCCCAAAAUAGCCUGUUAUCUUCCACGUGACCUAGAUUACUGACACUUUUAAAUAUAUAAUUUUUCUUCAAAGGCAGUACAUUUUCCUUUGUAGCUUCAAUUCCAUGUAGGACUUCAUACUGUAAAACCACUGUUAGUUUCCUUUAGAAACUCUGAGAGACUUUAAUAACAUAAAUUCUCAAUUUGGCUGCUGAACACGUGCCAGAGUUUUACUACCAUAGUGACCGUUGAGAAGACCCUUGUUUAUUUACAUCUGAAGCACUGUUUGUGCAAACAACCUUUCAUUGUUAAGUGCCUGUAUUCCUUUCAUUUACUUCAUGUCCAGGGGUGCUAUUUACCUAGAACCAUUGUCUACUACAAUUAACAUUUACAUUACAAAGUGUGUGGUUUUCUUUCUCAAGGAGGUUCAAUUAAGGCAAUAAGAUGUUUGCGGGGAAACCUAUUGUUUACUGAAAGCACUCAAUGGAGUCAAAUUACUGACGCUUUUGCCUACAUCUUGGUCUUUUAUGUAAAUAUGUUAAAUAUAACAUCUAAGGAAAAUAAACAAUAUUAUAAUUAUGUGUUUGCCAUUGUCAUAUCAAACUUGCUUUGUAUCAUACUAAUGUUACAUAACUUAUCGAUCAAUAAAAAUACAUUUCAAUGUUAUUUUCAUUUUAUUUUUUGCUGUUCCACUGCUCUUGCUGCAACAUGUCCCAAUUUUUCUUUUUUCUAUUACACAUCAAACUUCUGACAUUUUGUUUUAUUUGUGUGUGUUGAAGAGAGGUACUGUAUCUGAGCAUGGGUCUGAAGGAUGUCUGAGAUAAUCUCUACAAUGACCUUAUAAUAAGGUGAUAUUUCUUUGAAAUCUGAAAUAUUCCAAAGGCAUGUACAUUUAAGUCAAAAGAAGUGUAAAUAUCAGUUAAGUAGUUCUUUGAAAGCUAGUUUUAACAUUGGCAGAAACCGGAUCAAGUUUAUUUAGCAUACCACUGCAUUGUAAAACAGUUGGAGUGAAGUUGCAGGUUGCGUGAGUAUGCAUGUUAACUAGUGGGAACCAAGCAUAGUCUUUGUGAAAGGGGAGCAGCAGAUUGCUGUGCAAGGCCAAUGUUAAAAAGGCAGCUGAAUUUAACACCAUCUGGAAGAAAAGAUCCCUUCACGACUUUCUCACACCGUCAGACAAAACUAGUGUCUCUUGUUCCGAGCCCUUGUCUAUGCAACCAUACAAUACUGAGUCAUUAUACUUUUGCUGAGAGAAAAUUUGAGAACACAAUAUGGGUAACCAGUGAAUGACCAAGUUUCAUUGUGCCCGCUUAAGUCGAUUGAAAUCUACGUCUAGAGCUAUGAAUGGUAGUAUUGUUUUCCUCACCAGGGCUGUACUAAAUGUCAGCACAGUGUAAAGAAAAACUUGAAGUCUGCAAAUAACUUACCAGAUCUCAAUUAUAAUAUUUUCCCACACUAGAACUAAUAUCAUUGCGAGGGGCUACAUUGCAGAAAAUACCAAAAGAAAGGAAAAGAAAUAAGAGAGUUCAUUAAGAAGUUAUUUUAUCUAGACAAACAUUUUAAUUUUCUGAUGGGACCUUCAAUUCAGGCUGCAGGCUGAGUUGAAGAGUGGAAUUCAUUACUUGGAAGUUCAGGUUACAAAAAUGCUAAACAAAUAUCUAUUUCUACCUUUAAACAUUCUUAUUAGAUAUCAACAGACCCCACUUGGGUUUUACUGCUAGUUCUGUUUAGAAUUGUUAGUGUAAAUCUAGCUUUAAUUUUGCUUUAAAUUUUGGCACACUGCUCUUUCAAAGUUUGCCACUGUGAUUGACAUUGUAAAGGAACACCAUAGACAUACAUUUCCAAAAAUUUACAAGAUGGUUCUGGCACCUCCCAAGGUAGAUUCUAGUGCCCUUAGAAAUAUGCUUCCCCUUUAUGUUAAACCCCUCCCUCCAUCUUGUGUGUAUGUGCGUGUGUGUGUGUGUGUGUGUGUGUGUAAAUCAGUUAUCCUUAGGGUUAAUGUUCACACAAUCUAUUUGACUGUAAACAGUCAGAAAAAGGAAACAAAGCAGUUCAGAAAGAGUAAAAGGAGUUGAUUGUGUAUGUUUUAUUAGGAUGUCUAUUUUAAAUAUAAUUGACUUUGCAAUUUUGUUAUUGUGUCACUAAGUGUCGCAUAGUUCUUAACAUGUAAGUGCAAAACAAUGAGUAAUUGCUGUUUUGCUGAAUAAUACAUCUAAGUUGCCAACGUCAAAGGUAUUAUUUUGUGUAUUUCUAAACAAGAACUUUAACUGCAGGUUUUGACAUCUAGAAUCUUUUCAUGAGAUUCUUAGAAAUAGGCUGAUAAAAUGAUGCCUUUAAAACUAAAUAUAAAGAUAUAACCAACUUAUUUUUCUUGUCCUACUAGAAAAUUAACAAUGAAAAGUCACUCAACACUUGAAUUGGAAAUAACAUAAACACAGUCAUACAAAAAAUUCAAAAGAACAACAAAUGGAAAUUGGAUAGAGAUUUUAAAAAAAGAAAUAGGAAAACUUCUGUAAUAUCUUUGCAAAAUGUGAAUGGCUAUCUUAACCAAUACCUCUCCCCUACUGAAGUUUCCAUUAUUAUGCACAGUAAUGAGAGAAAUGUAUUUUUUACAUUCAAAAUGAACUAUUUCCCCAAAGUUGCUUUUCUUUAUUCUUAAGCACUAAAUUU